CAAACCUAAAAUAUAAAUAGGAACAGUGACAGCAACUGCCCAGCCUGUCCUACUGUUUGUGUUUAGUGUUCGUGAUUAUUUUGUUUCAACUUUUAUUUUCACACUGUAUGUUUUUUUUUUUUGUUAAAACCUUUUAUUUUAUUUUUGUUUGAAAAAAAGGAAACGGCUCAAGCGCCACUGCACCGCACCUGCAGUGUUUCUGUCACAGGAAGAUAAACAUCCAGGACUGUGACAGGAGCAGGCAGAUGACAUGAGCAAUUUUUCUGGACUUGAUGAUCUGCAAGCUUCUCAAACAGGAAAAAUAAAUGCACAAUAUAACCUGGAACUAAGCGUUUAUACCUGAUGAAGUGACCAUUCCAGCUUGAUAAACAACAUAAUAUUGAAAGAUACUACAAUAGCAGUUUGAAAUGACCUGAGGCUUAGGAAUGGUUAAUGUUAUCGAAUAAUAGAUUCUAACCUGAGGAAGCCCCAGAGAGGAACAUGAAUUUACCAAACAGGCUCAUUAGCUGGAAACUUCAAUUUUUGACAGGUAUGGCAGACUUCAAGCAGAUACUUGAGGAGGAGUGACCUGUCGCCACAUCACCAGUGCGCAUCACGAUUUCCCCAGAUUAAAAAGAGCACUGUUUCGUGCACUGCGGACGUGGGUUGGAUUACUGUGUAUUUUGUUUUGGGUUUUGCAAACCCGCAGUGAUACCCCCCUGAUACCAUUGCUGCUAGAGGGGUGGCUGUUUAUUUUUGCAUUUAAUAAACACAGACGUUUU
Long non-coding RNA from Acipenser ruthenus (sterlet), 761 nucleotides. RefSeq lists it as uncharacterized. The record is from RefSeq and is a predicted model, not a curated record. The transcript has 5 exons. NCBI's taxonomy places the organism in Eukaryota, Metazoa, Chordata, Actinopteri, Acipenseriformes, Acipenseridae.